This 245-nucleotide ribosomal RNA is filed under the name uncultured bacterium. RNAcentral's name for it is "partial 16S ribosomal RNA". It matches the Rfam family "Bacterial small subunit ribosomal RNA", at positions 524 to 768 of the family's 1533-position model. The record is from RNAcentral.
UACGGGGGUGGCGAGCGUUACUCGGAUUUAUUGGGUGUAAAGGGCAGGUAGGCGGCUAUGCAAGUUGAGGGUGAAAUCCUAAGGCUCAACCUUAGAACUGCCUUCAAAACUGCAUGGCUUGAGGCUUGAAGAGGAGAACGGAAUUCCCGGUGUAAGGGUGAAAUCUGUAGAUAUCGGGAAGAACACCUGUGGCGAAAGCGGUUCUCUGGUCAAGCUCUGACGCUGAUCUGCGAAAGCUCGGGGAG